CAAAAUAAAGCAUAAAUUGAUGCCUCCCUUUUACACUAGGAAUAUAAUGUUAAUCAUUUAUUUUGU
Molecule: transfer RNA, 66 nt
Filed under: Pelagomacellicephala iliffei
Lineage: Eukaryota; Metazoa; Annelida; Polychaeta; Phyllodocida; Polynoidae
Description: tRNA-Val
Source: RNAcentral